RNAcentral lists this ribosomal RNA (468 nucleotides) under uncultured bacterium. RNAcentral describes it as "partial 16S ribosomal RNA". It matches the Rfam family "Bacterial small subunit ribosomal RNA", at positions 28 to 507 of the family's 1533-position model. The record is from RNAcentral.
GACGAACGCUGGCGGCGUGCUUAACACAUGCAAGUCGAACGGAAAGGCCCUGCUUUUGUGGGGUGCUCGAGUGGCGAACGGGUGAGUAACACGUGAGUAACCUGCCCUUGACUUUGGGAUAACUUCAGGAAACUGGGGCUAAUACCGGAUAGGAGCUCCUGCUGCAUGGUGGGGGUUGGAAAGUUUCGGCGGUUGGGGAUGGACUCGCGGCUUAUCAGCUUGUUGGUGGGGUAGUGGCUUACCAAGGCUUUGACGGGUAGCCGGCCUGAGAGGGUGACCGGGCACCAUGGGACUGGGAUAAGGCCCAGACUCCUACGGGAGGCAGCAGUGGGGAAUAUUGCACAAUGGGCGGAAGCCUGAUGCAGCAACGCCGCGUGCGGGAUGACGGCCUUCGGGUUGUAAACCGCUUUCGCCUGUGACGAAGCGUGAGUGACGGUAAUGGGUAAAGAAGCACCGGCUAACUACGUG